GAUGAACGCUAGCGGCAUGCUUAACACAUGCAAGUCGAACGAGGAUCAGAUAGCUUGCUAACUGGUCCUAGUGGCGGACGGGUGAGUAACGCGUAAGAAUCUGCCCCUAGGAGAGGGAUACCAACUGGAAACGGUUGUUAAUACCUCAUAUGCUGAGGAGUGAAAUGGUUUCAUACCGCCUAGGGAUGAGCUUGCGUCUGAUUAGCUAGUUGGUGGGGUAAUGGCCUACCGAGGCAAUGAUCAGUAGCUGGUCUGAGAGGACAAUCAGCCACACUGG
Molecule: ribosomal RNA, 277 nt
Filed under: uncultured bacterium
Lineage: Bacteria
Description: partial 16S ribosomal RNA
Rfam family: Bacterial small subunit ribosomal RNA
Source: RNAcentral